RNAcentral lists this ribosomal RNA (1147 nucleotides) under Bacillus subtilis. RNAcentral describes it as "bacterial SSU rRNA". It matches the Rfam family "Bacterial small subunit ribosomal RNA", at positions 45 to 1156 of the family's 1533-position model. Lineage: Bacteria; Bacillati; Bacillota; Bacilli; Caryophanales; Bacillaceae. The record is from RNAcentral.
UUCCGCGCCAAUAUGCAAGUCGUAGCGGACAGAUGGGAGCUUGCUCCCUGUAUGUUAGCGGCGGACGGGCUGAGUAACACGUGGGUAACCUGCCUGUAAGACUGGGAUAACUCCGGGAAACCGGGGCUAAUACCGGAUGGUUGUUUGAACCGCAUGGUUCAAACAUAAAAGGUGGCUUCGGCUACCACUUACAGAUGGACCCGCGGCGCAUUAGCUAGUUGGUGAGGUAACGGCUCACCAAGGCAACGAUGCGUAGCCGACCUGAGAGGGUGAUCGGCCACACUGGGACUGAGACACGGCCCAGACUCCUACGGGAGGCAGCAGUAGGGAAUCUUCCGCAAUGGACGAAAGUCUGACGGAGCAACGCCGCGUGAGUGAUGAAGGUUUUCGGAUCGUAAAGCUCUGUUGUUAGGGAAGAACAAGUACCGUUCGAAUAGGGCGGUACCUUGACGGUACCUAACCAGAAAGCCACGGCUAACUACGUGCCAGCAACCGCGGUAAUACGUAGGUGGCAAGCGUUGUCCGGAAUUAUUGGGCGUAAAGGGCUCGCAGGCGGUUUCUUAAGUCUGAUGUGAAAGCCCCCGGCUCAACCGGGGAGGGUCAUUGGAAACUGGGGAACUUGAGUGCAGAAGAGGAGAGUGGAAUUCCACGUGUAACGGUGAAAUGCGUAGAGAUGUGGAGGAACACCAGUGGCGAAGGCGACUCUCUGGUCUGUAACUGACGCUGAGGAGCGAAAGCGUGGGGAGCGAACAGGAUUAGAUACCCUGGUAUUCCACGCCGUAAACGAUGAGUGCUAAGUGUUAGGGGUUCCGCCCCUUAGUGCUGCAGCUAACGCAUUAAGCACUCCGCCUGGGGAGUACGUCGCAAGACUGAACUCAAGGAUUGACCGGGGCCCGCACAACCGGUGAGCAUGUGGUUAUUCAACCACGCAAGACUAACAAGGUCUGACUCCUCUGACAUCCUGAGAUAGGACUUCCCUCGGGCGAAUCGUGUGCAUGUGUCCCACCUCCUGUCGACACGUGGUAUCCCGAACCAACCAACCUUAUCUAAUUGCCGCUUCAUUGGCACCAGGACCCCGUACAACCGAAAAGGUGGGAAAACUCAAUUUUUCCCCUUUACCUGGCCUAACCGCAAGAAGACCCCCAUU